CACCAAUCUUUUUACUCUAAUUCAGCCAUGGGGGUUUUUAAAAUUGAAUUCUGAGCAAAUGAGAAAAUUUUUACCUCUUUUGGCAAUCGAGAAUGGCUCUGGCGCGACGGUGGGUGGCGGCUGCUUUCCUUCCUAGUGGCUGGGUCUUCUUCUCCAGUGAGGGUGUCUAGUGGCUAGGGUUGGGGUUUGGUGUGAAGAGAGUUAUUUAUAUCUGUUCUCUUUUAAUCUGGGCCAUCUAUCACGUUUGAUCUAGACUAUUCGAUCGCAAUGAAAUAGGGAGUGAAUCUGGACCGUUCAUCGCAAUCUGAUCUAGGCUAUUCGAUCGCGUUUAAAUAGGAAGUGGAUAUGGACCACUUGCUGCAUAUGUGGGAGUGCCCGAGGAAUCAGAACCAAGCCAAACCUCCUAGCCAGGGCAGGGCUUACAACCUCACGCAGCAGGAUGCAGAAGCUAACUCAGACGCGAGGCAGGGUACGUACACUAUCUGUAAUCAUCUUGCACAUAUUUUGAUUGAUACUGGUGCCUCACAUUCAUUUGUUUCACAAGCUUUUACAUCAAAUUUGAAUGUAUUACCUGAAAGACUUAAUUCUGUAUUGUUUGUGUCUACUCCUAUGAGUAGGACACUACUGGGGAAGGUU
This 636-nucleotide long non-coding RNA is filed under the name Carica papaya (papaya). Its description in RNAcentral is "long non-coding RNA (CPAP_LNC007656)". Lineage: Eukaryota; Viridiplantae; Streptophyta; Magnoliopsida; Brassicales; Caricaceae. The record is from RNAcentral.